RNAcentral lists this ribosomal RNA (490 nucleotides) under uncultured bacterium. RNAcentral describes it as "partial 16S ribosomal RNA". It matches the Rfam family "Bacterial small subunit ribosomal RNA", at positions 30 to 507 of the family's 1533-position model. The record is from RNAcentral.
AUUGAACGCUGGCGGCAGGCCUAACACAUGCAAGUCGAACGGUAACAGGAAACAGCUUGCUGUUUCGCUGACGAGUGGCGGACGGGUGAGUAAUGUCUGGGAAACUGCCUGAUGGAGGGGGAUAACUACUGGAAACGGUAGCUAAUACCGCAUAACGUCGCAAGACCAAAGAGGGGGACCCUCGGGCCUCUUGCCAUCGGAUGUGCCCAGAUGGGAUUAGCUUGUUGGUGGGGUAACGGCUCACCAAGGCGACGAUCCCUAGCUGGUCUGAGAGGAUGACCAGCCACACUGGAACUGAGACACGGUCCAGACUCCUACGGGAGGCAGCAGUGGGGAAUAUUGCACAAUGGGCGCAAGCCUGAUGCAGCCAUGCCGCGUGUAUGAAGAAGGCCUUCGGGUUGUAAAGUACUUUCAGCGGGGAGGAAGGGAGUAAAAUUAAUACCUUUGCUCAUUGACGUUACCCGCAGAAGAAGCACCGGCUAACUCCGUG